RNAcentral lists this ribosomal RNA (467 nucleotides) under uncultured bacterium. RNAcentral describes it as "partial 16S ribosomal RNA". It matches the Rfam family "Bacterial small subunit ribosomal RNA", at positions 28 to 523 of the family's 1533-position model. The record is from RNAcentral.
GACGAACGCUGGCGGCGUGCUUAACACAUGCAAGUCGAGCGGGAAACUUCGGUUUCCAGCGGCGGACGGGUGAGUAACACGUGGGCAACCUGCCUCACAAUAAGGGAUAGCCUUCCGAAAGGAAGAUUAAUACCUCAUAAUACAAGAGAAACGCAUGUUUCUCUUGCCAAAGAAUUUCGUUGUGAGAUGGGCCCGCGGCGCAUUAGCUUGUUGGUGAGGUAACGGCUCACCAAGGCUGCGAUGCGUAGCCGACCUGAGAGGGUGAUCGGCCACAUUGGAACUGAGACACGGUCCAGACUCCUACGGGAGGCAGCAGUGGGGAAUAUUGCACAAUGGAGGAAACUCUGAUGCAGCAACGUCGCGUGAGUGAUGAAGGUCUUCGGAUUGUAAAGCUCUGUCUUCUGGGACGAUAAUGACGGUACCAGAGGAGGAAGCCACGGCUAACUACGUGCCAGCCGCCGCGGUAA